RNAcentral lists this ribosomal RNA (472 nucleotides) under uncultured bacterium. Its description in RNAcentral is "bacterial SSU rRNA". It matches the Rfam family "Bacterial small subunit ribosomal RNA", at positions 355 to 825 of the family's 1533-position model. The record is from RNAcentral.
UGGGGAAUUUUGGACAAUGGGGGCAACCCUGAUCCAGCCAUUCCGCGUGAGUGAAGAAGGCCUUCGGGUUGUAAAGCUCUUUCAGCAGGAACGAAACGGUCGGCUUUAAUAAAGUCGGCUAAUGACGGUACCUGCAGAAGAAGCACCGGCUAACUACGUGCCAGCAGCCGCGGUAAUACGUAGGGUGCGAGCGUUAAUCGGAAUUACUGGGCGUAAAGCGUGCGCAGGCGGCGACAUAAGACAGAUGUGAAAUCCCCGGGCUCAACCUGGGAACUGCGUUUGUGACUGUGUUGCUAGAGUGUAGCAGAGGGGGGUGAAUUCCACGUGUAGCAGUGAAAUGCGUAGAGAUGUGGAGGAACACCGAUGGCGAAGGCAGCCCCCUGGGUUAACACUGACGCUCAUGCACGAAAGCGUGGGGAGCGAAACAGGAUUAGAUACCCCCGUAGUCCCUGAGCGGGCUGGCAAGGCGCAU